UCCCCCUGACCGGRKCCUGUCCGUAGCGGGUGCGAGGCCCAUAGCCGCCGCGUCCGUCUCGAAUGCGAUCUCCUUGGAGUCGGGUUGCUUGGGAGUGCAGCCCCAAUCGGGUGGUAAACUCCACCUAAGGCUAAAUACCGCCGUGAGACCGAUAGCAAACAAGUACCGUGAGGGAAAGUUGCAAAGAACUUUGAAGAGAGAGUUCAAGAGUACGUGAAACUGCUCAGAGGUAAACGGGUGGGCCCUCGAAAUCCUGUGGCGAGAGGAUUCAGUCUGGGUCGGAGGACGGCCCGGGGGAAGUUCGAGAAGGGCAUCCGCGCACGCGGGCCGUCCCUCGAGUCGCAACUCCUCCGUCCCAGACGCAUUUGUCUCUCGUCCCGAGGACGCUGCAGCCGGUCUGGGAGUGCAAGCGCGACGGCCUGAAGGCCGGGUGACGGCAGGUGGCCGGUGACUCGCUCUUCGCGCGUCGCCGGUUGUUAGCCUUCCCGGCAGUGGCCCGUCUCCAGACCGUGGUGUCGCGAGUCCCUUCGGGGACUCACCGUCUCCUCCCRKNWGANAGCGGGACAGAGCCCGGCCAGGGACCUCGUUCUCGACCGUCGCACUUCCACGGAGUGGGCGGACGAGGCGAGUGCCCGAAUCGCCGGGUCGGAYCCGCGGGGGGCCGGAGGCUGGCAGCGAGUAGGUCGGUCACCCACCCGACCCGUCUUGAAACACGGACCAAGGAGUCUAACAUGUGCGCGAGUCAAUGGGUCUUGACUAGGCCCAUGGGCGCAAUGAAAGCGAAGGGCCGCCUAGCGGUCCGAGUGGGGAUCCCCCGCCCUCGAGGCGGGGGCGCACCCGCGACCCGUCCUAUCCGGCUCGCCGGUUGGGCGGAGUCUGAGCGUACACGUUGGGACCCGAAAGAUGGUGAACUAUGCCCGGACAGGACGAGGCCAGAGGAAACUCUGGUGGAGGUCCGCAGC
Molecule: ribosomal RNA, 962 nt
Filed under: Pensacola signata
Lineage: Eukaryota; Metazoa; Arthropoda; Arachnida; Araneae; Salticidae
Description: eukaryotic LSU rRNA
Rfam family: Eukaryotic large subunit ribosomal RNA
Source: RNAcentral